Molecule: ribosomal RNA, 467 nt
Filed under: uncultured bacterium
Lineage: Bacteria
Description: bacterial SSU rRNA
Rfam family: Bacterial small subunit ribosomal RNA
Source: RNAcentral
GCCUACGGGGGGCAGCAGUCGAGAAUUUUUCUCAAUGGGGGAAACCCUGAAGGAGCGACGCCGCGUGGAGGAUGAAGGUCUUCGGAUUGUAAACUCCUGUCAUUGGUGAACAAGGCCCUCGGUUAACUGCCGUUGGGUUUGAUAGUAGCCGAAGAGGAAGAGACGGCUAACUCUGUGCCAGCAGCCGCGGUAAUACAGAGGUCUCAAGCGUUGUUCGGAUUCAUUGGGCGUAAAGGGUGCGUAGGUGGCGGGGCAAGUCUGGUGUGAAAUCCCGGGGCUCAACCCCGGAACUGCACUGGAUACUGCCUUGCUAGAGCACUGGAGAGGGAACUGGAAUUUACGGUGUAGCAGUGAAAUGCGUAGAUAUCGUAAGGAAGACCAGUGGCGAAGGCGAGUUCCUGGACAGUUGCUGACACUGAGGCACGAAGGCUAGGGGAGCAAACGGGAUUAGAUACCCGUGUAGUCCA